RNAcentral lists this ribosomal RNA (496 nucleotides) under uncultured bacterium. RNAcentral describes it as "bacterial SSU rRNA". It matches the Rfam family "Bacterial small subunit ribosomal RNA", at positions 29 to 518 of the family's 1533-position model. The record is from RNAcentral.
AUGAACGCUAGCGACAGGCCUAACACAUGCAAGUCGAGGGGCAGCACAAGGAGCAAUCUGAGGUGGCGACCGGCGCACGGGUGAGUAACACGUAUGCAACCUGCCUGUAAGCGGGGAAUAACCCGUUGAAAGACGGACUAAUACCGCAUAAUACUAAAUUACUGCAUGGUAAUUUAUUUAAACAUUUAUGGCUUACAGAUGGGCAUGCGCAUGAUUAGCUAGUUGGAGAGGUAACGGCUCCCCAAGGCAACGAUCAUUAGGGGUUCUGAGAGGAAGGUCCCCCCACACUGGUACUGAGACACGGACCAGACUCCUACGGGAGGCAGCAGUGAGGAAUAUUGGUCAAUGGACGAGAGUCUGAACCAGCCAAGUCGCGUGCAGGAAGAAUUGUCCUAUGGAUUGUAAACUGCUUUUGCAGGGGAAUAAAGUGCAUCACGUGUGAUGUUUUGUAUGUACUCUGCGAAUAAGGAUCGGCUAACUCCGUGCCAGCCGCAGC